UACGGGGGGGGCAAGCGUUGUUCGGAAUUACUGGGCGUAAAGGGUUCGUAGGCGGCCAACUAAGUCAGACGUGAAAUCCCUCGGCUUAACCGGGGAACUGCGUCUGAUACUGGAUGGCUUGAGAUUGGGAGAGGGAUGCGGAAUUCCAGGUGUAGCGGUGAAAUGCGUAGAUAUCUGGAGGAACACCGGUGGCGAAGGCGGCGUCCUGGGCCAACACUGGCGGUGAGGGAGCGAAAGCCAGGGGAGCAAACGGG
Molecule: ribosomal RNA, 254 nt
Filed under: uncultured bacterium
Lineage: Bacteria
Description: partial 16S ribosomal RNA
Rfam family: Bacterial small subunit ribosomal RNA
Source: RNAcentral